RNAcentral lists this ribosomal RNA (1372 nucleotides) under uncultured bacterium. Its description in RNAcentral is "bacterial SSU rRNA". It matches the Rfam family "Bacterial small subunit ribosomal RNA", at positions 28 to 1381 of the family's 1533-position model. The record is from RNAcentral.
GAUGAACGCUGGCGGCGUGCCUAAUACACGCAAGUCGAGCGAACGGACGAGAAGCUUGCUUCUCUGAUGUUAGCGGCGGACGGGUGAGUAACACGUGGAUAACCUACCUAUAAGACUGGGAUAACUUCGGGAAACCGGAGCUAAUACCGGAUAAUAUUUUGAACCGCAUGGUUCAAAAGUGAAAGACGGUCUUGCUGUCACUUAUAGAUGGAUCCGCGCUGCAUUAGCUAGUUGGUAAGGUAACGGCUUACCAAGGCAACGAUGCAUAGCCGACCUGAGAGGGUGAUCGGCCACACUGGAACUGAGACACGGUCCAGACUCCUACGGGAGGCAGCAGUAGGGAAUCUUCCGCAAUGGGCGAAAGCCUGACGGAGCAACGCCGCGUGAGUGAUGAAGGUCUUCGGAUCGUAAAACUCUGUUAUUAGGGAAGAACAUAUGUGUAAGUAACUGUGCACAUCUUGACGGUACCUAAUCAGAAAGCCACGGCUAACUACGUGCCAGCAGCCGCGGUAAUACGUAGGUGGCAAGCGUUAUCCGGAAUUAUUGGGCGUAAAGCGCGCGUAGGCGGUUUUUUAAGUCUGAUGUGAAAGCCCACGGCUCAACCGUGGGGGGUCAUUGGAAACUGGAAAACUUGAGUGCAGAAGAGGAAAGUGGAAUCCCAUGUGUAGCGGUGAAAUGCGCAGAGAUAUGGAGGAACACCAGUGGCGAAGGCGACUUUCUGGUCUGUAACUGACGCUGAUGUGCGAAAGUGUGGGGAUCAAACAGGAUUAGAUACCCUGGUAGUCCACGCCGUAAACGAUGAGUGCUAAGUGUUAGGGGGUUUCCGCCCCUUAGUGCUGCAGCUAACGCAUUAAGCACUCCGCCUGGGGAGUACGACCGCAAGGUUGAAACUCAAAGGAAUUGACGGGGACCCGCACAGGCGGUGGAGCAUGUGGUUUAAUUCGAAGCAACGCGAAGAACCUUACCAAAUCUUGACAUCCUUUGACAACUCUAGAGAUAGAGCCUUCCCCUUCGGGGGACAAAGUGACAGGUGGUGCAUGGUUGUCGUCAGCUCGUGUCGUGAGAUGUUGGGUUAAGUCCCGCAACGAGCGCAACCCUUAAGCUUAGUUGCCAUCAUUAAGUUGGGCACUCUAAGUUGACUGCCGGUGACGAACCGGAGGAAGGUGGGGAUGACGUCAAAUCAUCAUGCCCCUUAUGAUUUGGGCUACACACGUGCUACAAUGGACAAUACAAAGGGCAGCGAAACCGCGAGGUCAAGCAAAUCCCAUAAAGUUGUUCUCAGUUCGGAUUGUAGUCUGCAACUCGACUACAUGAAGCUGGAAUCGCUAGUAAUCGUAGAUCAGCAUGCUACGGUGAAUACGUUCCCGGGUCU